UACGUAGGGCGCAAGCGUUGUCCGGAAUUAUUGGGCGUAAAGAGCUCGUAGGCGGUUUGUCGCGUCGGCUGUGAAAACCCGAGGCUCAACCUCGGGCCUGCAGUCGAUACGGGCAGACUAGAGUGUGGUAGGGGAGACUGGAAUUCCUGGUGUAGCGGUGAAAUGCGCAGAUAUCAGGAGGAACACCGGUGGCGAAGGCGGGUCUCUGGGCCGAUACUGACGCUGAGGAGCGAAAGCGUGGGGAGCAAACAGG
This 253-nucleotide ribosomal RNA is filed under the name uncultured bacterium. Its description in RNAcentral is "partial 16S ribosomal RNA". It matches the Rfam family "Bacterial small subunit ribosomal RNA", at positions 524 to 776 of the family's 1533-position model. The record is from RNAcentral.